UACGAAGGGAGCUAGCGUUGUUCGGAAUUACUGGGCGUAAAGGGCGCGUAGGCGGCUUGGCAAGUUGGAUGUGAAAGCCCAGGGCUCAACCCUGGAAUUGCAUUCAAGACUGCCUUGCUUGAAUUCGGUAGAGGUUGGUGGAAUUCCCAGUGUAGUGGUGAAAUACGUAGAGAUUGGGAAGAACACCAGUGGCGAAGGCGGCUAUCUGGACGGUUUCUGACGCUAAGACGCGAAAGCGUGGGGAGCAAACAGG
Molecule: ribosomal RNA, 253 nt
Filed under: uncultured bacterium
Lineage: Bacteria
Description: partial 16S ribosomal RNA
Rfam family: Bacterial small subunit ribosomal RNA
Source: RNAcentral